GCCCGGCUGGCUCUGUUGGUAGAACACGCGACUCUUGAUCUCGGGGUCGUGAGUUCGAGCCCCACGCUGGGUG
RNAcentral lists this transfer RNA (73 nucleotides) under Ailuropoda melanoleuca (giant panda). It matches the Rfam family "tRNA". From Rfam's summary of the family: Transfer RNA (tRNA) molecules are approximately 80 nucleotides in length. Their secondary structure includes four short double-helical elements and three loops (D, anti-codon, and T loops). The record is from Rfam by way of RNAcentral. Lineage: Eukaryota; Metazoa; Chordata; Mammalia; Carnivora; Ursidae.